CUGGGGUUCUGGGGUGGGGAUGGUAGAUGAUGAAUUCUGGCAUCUAGGCUGGUACUCCAGUAGUCACUUGGGCUCUUUGGAUCUGUAGUGGGGCUAUGUUUGUCUCUGGUUGUAAAUAAAGACUUGCUCAGUUUACUUAAAAGAGGCUCCCUCAUCCCUCACAACCCUUCUUGGGAAGGACUAGAGAAAUCAGGGGCUUAUUUAAUGUAACAUAAUUUAAAGAAGGGCUUCCUUGGUGGCUUAGAUGGCAAAGCACCCGCCUGCAAUGCAGGAAACCUGGGUUUGACUCCUGGGUUAGGAACAGCCCCUGGAGAAGAGAAUGGCAACCCACUCUAGUAUUCUUGCCUGGAGAAUUCUGUGGACAAGGGAGCCUGGCGGGCUACAGUCCAUGGGGUUGCAAAGAGUUGGACACAACUGAGCAACUAACACACACACACACAAUUUAAAGGAACAUACAAUAUCCCUUUAAGAUGCACAGAAUUUGAGUGCCAAAUGCUGUACCUUGAGCAGUCUGGUUUUAUUCCUGUGCAGGUUUUCACAGGGUGUUAUUGGAGGGUUGCAGCAGAAAGUUUAUAGUUUUUUCUUUAAUCCUUGCAAAGUGGCAGGACUCGCAUUGGAGUGUGAAAGGAAUCAGAUACUUAUAAUUAUUUUUACCUAUUUGGAUCAGGUCUGCAAAACGAUACAGAAAGCCAGCAAGCUGUUUAAAUUGCUACAUGAUGCAGGAAAAAGAACUGGUUUUACUUCUAUGGAAAACCCUGUCAUUCACCUGUUGAGACUCUGGAUAAUUUCAAGUGAUUCUUGGAGGUUUCUUCUCAAUAUAUUUGCCAGUUCUCUCCACAAAAAAAUGUAGGGAGGAUAAGAAGAUAGUAUCAGGAAAAAUAAAUCACAUUCCUUUAAAAUAUUUUUUUCCUACGUCUAUUUCUAAUGCCAAUAAUAGAAAUUAUGUGGAAGAAAUGUUAAUAAGUGUGGCUUGAUGGCUUUAUGUGUUUGAUGGGCUCCCUGAUGCCCUCAUGAAAUCAGGUUGCCAAAAACAAACCGGGGAAACAGGGAAGUGUAGAACACAGAGAUGAGUAUCAGAGAACUCCAUGCUAUUUCUAAGGAUGUGUAUGAUUUAUGAAAAACACUGUUAAGGUUUUUGGAGUGUGGUAUCUCCAUUUCCACUUCUGUAAGUGUGGAUGAGUUAGAUGAAGACUGUAACACACAGCUGGAACAUGGCAGGAUACUUGACAGCUAGAAGGACCACCCCAGUCCAGCUGCCUUCCUAGCUGGGUUGGAGAAGGGAAUUGAGACUGGGGGUAGAGGAGGGGGUGGGGAUGGAGUGCAAUUUGAGAAAAUCAAUGGGAAGAUUAGUUGAGAGUGAUAGAGAAUCCCAAAUAACCUUUGACACAGACACUACCUUUUUGUCAAGUGAUAAACACAGUCAUGGGGAAGGUACUGCCCUGUUGAAUGUAUAUUGCUAACUUCAUUGAUUUUACUUUCAUUCUGGUACAUCUUAUUUUGGUAAAUAUCAUAAAUCAGUCUUCAUUCUAAACAUGAUUCAUGUAAAAUGGUUCACAUAGGGUAGGAAGCUGAACUGAUCUACGCAAGUGAGAGGUUAGGAAAAUAAAUGUCUAUCUAGGAAAUAUAUAUUAUUUCCUCUGUAUUAAACUGCUUAAUGAAAGGUGUGAACAUAGCUUUGAACAUGGCUUCUUGUUCUGUUUCUUAAUCCUGUGAAAGAGAGACAGUGUACGGUUGGGCAUGAACUUGAAUCAACUGAUCUAGAUUUGAAUCCCAAAUCUAGUAUUGAUUAGCCAUUUGAUCCUAAGAAUGCUGCUUAGGAUCAUGCUUUUUUCAGUCUUAGUGUAACUGCAAGGAUUAAAUGAGAUGAUGGAUCAAAAAUGCUUUCAAUUUUUUGUCUAUAAUCUGUAGCAGGAAAUACAUUUUUUUUGCAUCACUAGAUAAUGUACCCAAAUGUACACACAGAGAGAAACAUACAACUUUAACAAACAUUUCAUGAAGCGAUGGUCACCCUUACUAUGUGUAAUAUACACUGAUAUUUUCUGUUCCAUUCUACUGCAUAUUUUAAGAAAUUCUGGUCAUGAUCCACUAAGUUAAUUUUACAAUUCGUCAAUGAUUUAGGACCCACAGUAAGAAAAACCAGAUUUGAUACUUAGCACAGUGACUGGUAUACAGUCAUUGUUCUAUAAGGAAUAAACAUUGCACUUAGGAGGGAAUGAUGUCAUGUAAUAGGUUUAUUGAGGUAUAAUUCUUUGGCUAGAGGAAGUUGUAAUAAAAAUGCUAAAGUUUCUUAAUGAGAGUAGCGCCAAGGUUGCCAAUAUGAUAUAAAGCACUUUCCCCUCUUCCUCUUCUUUCUGAUUAAGGCACAUCAUUGAAGACCAGAGACAAACAAGUUGGAAAAACUGAAAACAAAACAUCAUUCCUUUUUCCUUAGCAUAAUUUAAUUAAAAUUUCUUAACCUAAAGCUUGAUUUCAGAAUGAUUAAUAUUGACAACUUUGGAAAAUAAAUACUCAAAGGAGGAAAGCAGAAAGGAUGCUGUUUGUACACAACUAAAGCACAUUUAACUAGCAGCAGUGAAGGUGAGGCCUGAUGAAUUUCUAUCCAAUAGCUGACUGUGGAGCAUCAUUUUCUCCUCUCUUUUCUUCUUCAGAAACAAGGAGAAAAUUCAGGGUAAAAAAAAUGUAAGUAUACUUGGCAUACAAGGUUUCUGUUGCUACUGUGGCAAAUUGCCAUAAAUGCAGAUAUUUACAAUUCAAAUUUCUUAUCUUACUGUUUUCAUGGGUUGGAAGUCCAAGUGUAUCAUGGCUCAGUUGGUUCUUUGGCUCUGGGUAUCACAGGCUGAAUAAUGUGUUGGCAGGGCUGUGUUACUUUUUUGGAGACUUUGGGAUUGGAUCUCUUCUAAGCCGAUUCAGGCUGUUGGACCAGUUUGGUUCUUUGGGGUUGAAGGACUGAGGUAUGUUUACUUGCUGGCUGUCAGCGAGGGAGGCAGGCAGACUUUGCUCCUAGAGGCUGCCUACAGUCCUCCUCAAGCUGUCCAUAUGGCUCAACAGAAGUUGAGUUCCUCUCACUGUUUGAAUCUCUCUGACUUCCCUUUGUGCCACAUUUCUCAUCCCAGCAGAAGAAUUUUUUCUGCUUUUAAGGGUUCAUGUAAUUAAAUUGGGCCCACACAGAUAAUUCAGGACCAUCUCUAUAUCUUGAGGUCUAUAACCAUUAUAUCUGCAAAGUCUCUUUGUAAUAUACCAUAUUCACAAAAUCCGGAGAAGUGUGGGCAUCUUUGGUGGGGAUUUGGGAGAGGGUAUUAUUUGCCUGCUAUAUUUGGUUUGGAAAUUAUUUUCUCUGUAGAGAAGAAAUUUUAUUGCUGUCAGAGUUUUCAUGGCUCUUAGAGUUACUGAAUAAAUCAUAAAAUUAUAGGAUUUUAGAGGGGGACAGCAUUCAGGAACUUCAACUUCCUCAUUUCACAAUGAGGAAACCAAACAGAAUUACUUGCUUAGUCUCACAGGAGGUUGGUGAAAGUGUUAGCGGGGCAAUCCAUGAUUCUAGACUUCUGGUCCUUUUUCAUGGCUCAGACAUUCAGAAAUGCUGAUGAAUUAUAUUCCUGGGAAGGUGGAUCUUGGGGAAGAAAUAAAUUAAAAGUUAGCAAUGGGGAAGCUAGGCUUUUUGUUUUUCUCCCUCUCCUGAUCUGACUCCUAGGAAGCAUUUGCAAAGAAAAAUUCUGAAGCUUUAAGGAAUUAUUUUAUAUCAUCCUAGAAUCGUGGAAAAAUUUAAAAGCCUUUCUACUUAAAAAUACCAGGGUUCUUAAAAAUUUCUCAUCCAGUUACUUUAGAUGAAAAAUGUUUAUUUUUCUUCUUUUUAAUAUGGUGUUAAUAUCAUUGUUUCUGAGGUUAGCAAAGCCUGAGAGAAUGAGGAAUAAAAGGAGUGAAAGAGGAUGAAAAGAGAGCCUAAAACCAUCAAUUUCAGGGGCCUCUAAAAUGGAAUUCUCACUGCUAUGCUUUUGCAGUCUCAGGCUGAGAUGAAUACACAAGACCAGUACUGGUUUACUCUUUGUUAAUAUCAGUGGAAGCUGGAAAGCAGUUCUAUCUAUCUAUUGAAAUUUAUCUAUCAAUUAUUCUUUCAUUCCUACUUCUUUCACUCUUCAUUUACUGAGGUCUUGUUAUAUGUCUAGUGCUAUGCUAAGGGCUGUGAUACAUUGAGGAAUAAGAUAAGGCAUCUGUCUUUAAAAGAUCAUAGUUUAGCCAGAGAGACAGAUAUAGGAACAGAUAUAAUAGCAUGUUGUCCCAGAAUUGUGACUAAAACCCCAAUAUGAAAGUAAAAGGCUCAAAGAGCCCUACUUCUUUGGCAGAGGGGAGUCAGACAGUUCCUUCUGGGGCUUCCUAGGAGGCGGUAGAACUUCCAGCCGUGAUCCUGGUGCCACACCAAGGAUGAAAGGUAAGGGAGGGGGCAGUGGCAGUUUACAUAAGAAAUCUUGAAUUUUCAGAGUUGCUAACCUCAUGGGGAGUACAGUGCUUGUGGUAAGAUGGCAUUGCCACUCUCCCAGGGGGAGCAGAGGGAUUGCUUUUCCUUCCCUAACUUCGAAUAAAGGGACCCCUCAGAUACUCAUUUGUAAAGCCUGGAUGUGUCUGCCACAAGGCAGAAAGAGAUGGGCAUCUCAUACCCCAGGCAUCAGACUUGCUGAUCUGCCCCUGAACACCCAAGACAAGGACAGGAAUUGGAGGGAGACACAAGGGUGCAGAAAAGGAGCAGCAAUAGUCUAUGACCUGCACCAGCACCAACUGGGAAGGGGCUGUGAGUCUCUAGUGAAUUGAGCAUACCAUCCAGAAGGUGGCCUUGAGCUCUUUUGCUGAUAGUUCACAUAAGAGGGUUGCCUACAGGAUGAGGGCCCCCCAGAAGCAAGGGGCUGUUGGAUGGACCAGCCUCUUAGAGGAUAGAAUAGAUGGAGUUGGGAGGAUAGAUAUCCCACAUCAGUGUACUAUGGGGUGAGGAGGCUCCUCUGAUAUCCCCAUCAACACACUCGUGAACCACACAAAAGAGUCAGCUUUGGGUGUCUGCCCCACAUGCCUUGCCUUACUGACCAGUCAAGAUUGGGCAGAGAGAGGCCAGACUCCGGUUAAGUAAGGAGAAGUUUGUCUUCCACCAAUACUCCUCCUCCCAAUCUUCCUUGCCUUUUCUGUCCCCAAAGCAUCUGGAAUCUGCAGAUGGAGAAGGGCAGCCAUGAAAGAAUGUCUUCCUUCCUGCUCCAAGUUCUUCAAGCCAAAUGCCUGACUUGCAGUGAAGGGGAGGGAAAGUUUUGAAUCAGAUAUGAGUCCAGACUUGUUAACAGGAUGGGACUGAACUUUAACAACUGAACAUAAAUAGAAAGUUAUGGGACCUGCCCGAAGUGUUAAAGGAUUUACUAUUGAGCAGGGAAGGAAGAUCUGAGAGAUUGUGAGUGAAAACAGUGAUUAAAAAUGUUUUGUUUUUUCCCCACUUAUUGGAAAUUUUAAUCCCUCAAUAUACUGGUUCCAAAAUAAAUGCAGAACAGAAUUGAUUUGUCCUAUAAUGGUGACAAAUAACAAGUGUUUUUUCUUUCUUGCAUAAUGUUUGUUUUUCCUAGAACUAAUAAAAUUGUUUUGUUUUGGUUUUUUUUGGUUUGCUUAUUACAUUUGGUUUUCUAUUUACAUAUCACAAAGUCAACCCCAACCAUUUCCCCCUAAUUGUCAAAACUCUGGGUAGGUUGAAAUACAUAAAGUGUUCUAUCAAAUUCACCUUGUUAAAAAGUCAUUUUUAGAAUCUUUCCUGAUCUACUUCAAUUUGAACUGAUUGUUCUCUGUGUUUGCCAUAGAUCUGUCCUCAUGUGACCUCCUAAGAAUGUUUUUUUUUUUUGUUUUUUAAUUUUAUUUUGUGAUAGAUCCUCCAUUUUCUGGAUUCCAGGUCUCCUUUUUUCUUAACUCACUUCUUUACUUUGGUGGAGCACUUUCUCCAACAACUGAAAAAUAUUGUGUGAAAGAUCGAUUUGGGGAGACCUUGCAUAUAAAAAAUGUUUUUAGUCUACCUGUGGUAAUUUAUUUACCAAACAGCUGCAAUAAUUCUCCACCUUGAAUUAUUACCAUUGUGCUCAGUUACUAAGUCAUGUCCAACCCUUUUGCGACCCCAUAAACUAUAGUAGCUCACCAGCCUCCUCUGUCCAUGGGAUUUCCCAGACAAGAAUACUAGAGUGGGUUACCAUUCUUUCCUCCAGCAGGUCUUCCUGACCCAGAUAUCAAACCCAUGACUCCUGUGUCUCCUGCAUUGGCAGGUGGAUUCUUUACCACUGAGCCAUCUGGGAAGCCCUUUGGUCAAUGGGACAGUAUCAAACAUGAGACCUCCAAGCCUGCAACAUGUGUGUACAAGGCCAUCCUAGAUGAUCUACCCCCGACUGGAAAGAUUCACCAAGUCAGCAGAAAAACCACACUGAUGACCCAGAGAAUUAUGAUA
Molecule: long non-coding RNA, 6448 nt
Organism: Bos taurus (domestic cattle)
Lineage: Eukaryota; Metazoa; Chordata; Mammalia; Artiodactyla; Bovidae
Source: Ensembl